Molecule: long non-coding RNA, 243 nt
Organism: Onychostruthus taczanowskii (white-rumped snowfinch)
Lineage: Eukaryota; Metazoa; Chordata; Aves; Passeriformes; Passeridae
Exons: 2
Source: RefSeq, a predicted model, not a curated record
CAGGAAAAAAAAAAACCAAAAAAACAACUGUGAUUCUGCAUCUGUUGCCUUUUCAUUUCCAGACUAUGGCAGCUGAACUAAAUGGAAAUACAAUAUGGAGAAAGAGGCCAGCAACAAGCUUCACUCGAAGAGAAGUUUUAAAUGUGAUUUAUCUGAACAGCAAAUAUCAUAGCUCAAUGCACCAUCUGCAAUUGUACUGCAACUCUAUGGAUCAUUAAAUAUAGACUACAUUUGUGUCUAUUG